Alexandromys fortis (reed vole) is the source of this 104-nucleotide small nuclear RNA. The record is from RefSeq and is a predicted model, not a curated record. Lineage: Eukaryota; Metazoa; Chordata; Mammalia; Rodentia; Cricetidae.
GUGUCCACUUGGACAGCACAUACACUAAAACUGAAAGGACACAGAGAUUAGCAUGGCCCCUGCAAAAGGAUGACAUGCAAGUUCAUGAAGAGUUCCAUAUUUUU